UACACACCGCCCGUCGCUACUACCGAUUGAAUGGCUCAGUGAGGCCUUCGGACUGGCUUGGGGAGGUUGGCAACGACCACCCUAAGCCGGAAAGUUCGUCAAACUCGGUCAUUUAGAGGAAGUAAAAGUCGUAACAAGGUUUCCGUAGGUGAACUGCGGAAGG
This 163-nucleotide ribosomal RNA is filed under the name ascomycete sp. MA 4671. Its description in RNAcentral is "18S ribosomal RNA". It matches the Rfam family "Eukaryotic small subunit ribosomal RNA", at positions 1663 to 1824 of the family's 1831-position model. The record is from RNAcentral. Lineage: Eukaryota; Fungi; Ascomycota.